This 537-nucleotide ribosomal RNA is filed under the name uncultured bacterium. RNAcentral's name for it is "partial 16S ribosomal RNA". It matches the Rfam family "Bacterial small subunit ribosomal RNA", at positions 355 to 880 of the family's 1533-position model. The record is from RNAcentral.
UGGGGAAUAUUGGACAAUGGGCGCAAGCCUGAUCCAGCAAUGCCGCGUGAGUGAUGAAGGCCUUAGGGUUGUAAAGCACUUUCAGCGAGGAGGAAGGUGGUGAACUUAAUACGUUCAUCAAUUGACGUUACUCGCAGAAGAAGCACCGGCUAACUCCGUGCCAGCAGCCGCGGUAAUACGGAGGGUGCAAGCGUUAAUCGGAAUUACUGGGCGUAAAGCGCACGCAGGCGGUUUGUUAAGUCAGAUGUGAAAUCCCCGGGCUCAACCUGGGAACUGCAUUUGAAACUGGCAAGCUAGAGUCUCGUAGAGGGGGUGAGAAUUCCAGGUGUAGCGGUGAAAUGCGUAGAGAUCUGGAGGAAUACCGGUGGCGAAGGCGGCCCCCUGGACGAAGACUGACGCUCAGGUGCGAAAGCGUGGGGAGCAAACAGGAUUAGAUACCCCUGGUAGUCCACGCUGUAAAACGAUGUCGAUUUUGGAGGUUGUGCCCCUUGAGGCGUGGCUUCCGGAGCUAACGCGUUAAAUCGACCGCCUGGGGAG